AAAACUGUUCAUCAUAAUAUUUCAGUAAUUAAUUGUUUUUAUACAACAUCUUUUAUUAGACAGCUUGGCUCAGAUUGUCAACAUAAUGGGUAAAACUUGCUGCAAAUUUGUUCGAGAACAACCUUCGGAGAAAUACACUCUCUUGACGGAAGAGGAUGUGACUGAUGAAUUAUUGAGUCAAUCUCAGAUUUCUGUCCAAUGUAAGGAGAACCCCGAGGGUCGAGAUGGAAUGGUGGUAUUUGACAUGGAAGCCUUUCCCAUGGUCAACAUCCUCUGUGGAGAAGAUCUUCCUAAAGUCAAAAUAAACAACAGUAGCUUUCUGCAGAUCUGAAUUUGAAAGCUUCACAUCAAUUUUGUCAUGGAAAUGUCUUGACAUUUUGAAUAAUUAAAAAU
Long non-coding RNA from Rhinichthys klamathensis goyatoka, 393 nucleotides. RefSeq lists it as uncharacterized. The transcript has 3 exons. NCBI's taxonomy places the organism in Eukaryota, Metazoa, Chordata, Actinopteri, Cypriniformes, Leuciscidae. The record is from RefSeq and is a predicted model, not a curated record.